Molecule: long non-coding RNA, 2283 nt
Organism: Rosa chinensis
Lineage: Eukaryota; Viridiplantae; Streptophyta; Magnoliopsida; Rosales; Rosaceae
Exons: 8
Source: RefSeq, a predicted model, not a curated record
GCUACCAAAUCCGGACAGACCCGACCUCUCCCUCCUCCUUUCUUCUCCUUUUCGCCGUUUCUGGUUUUCCGGCGAUUUCGUCGCCGUCCGGCCACCCCAGGACGAACCGUUUGGCAUGGCGUGAUCCUCUCCUCCUUCUCUACCUAGUCAUCUUGUUUUGAUCGGUGGAGGAAGAUUUGAAGGUGUUUGAGGGUGUGAACAGUAACGUGAACAGUAACUGUCAAGUUCUUGGUUUUUGUUUGAUCUUUCCGGCCACUUCUGCUUUAAUUUGGUUGUUGUUGCAGGAUGUACUGAGCCCUCAAGCGUGGAGGACACGGGCAGGCAGCAGGAUUAGCUGCGAGAUUCACCUGUGAUGGACUUUCAUUUUAUUUAAAUAAUGCAUGCAACACAGUAUUAAAUUUAUAAUGGAUUAUUAUUUGAGUAAAUGUGGUUUUUGUGAAAAGAAAAGAAUUUAAGUAUUUGAGUAAAUGUGGUUUUUGUGAAAAGAAAAGAAUUUAAAAGGAGUUGGUAAGGAGACUAGUUUCGGCGCAUGUGUACAUUACCUAGUCGGCAGUCCCCUCUAGGUAAUAGUUUGGUCGGCAGUCCCCUCCGGUUAGUCAUAUGGUCGGCAGUCCCCUCCAGAUGAUAUGAGGUAGUUAGUCGGCAGUCCCCUCUAACCACCGCCUCCUAAAUCCGGUCGGCAGUCCCCUCCGAUGCGUCAUCUGGGCGGCAGUCCCCUCCAGAUGGCAUGAGAUGACUAGACAGCAGUCCUCUCUAGUCAUCGAACGAUGUUUCUUGAAAGGAUGGUUUUCAAAGGAAUGAGUUGGAAUUGUUUUAUAAAUCUCGCUGCAUGUCGGUUUUUGUUAACGAGAAAAUGGGAAAGCAUUCAAGCAUUGAGUUCAUAAUUUAUUUUAGUUUCGUCCACUCACUCUAAUGGAUUUUAAAUGUUUUCCCCUGGGCCCUUCGUUUUUCAAAUGCCCAGAUUUCAGAUUUGCCGAGAUCGCGUCCAAGAACUUGAGGCAUAGGAAUCAGCGCUUCUGGUUUGUCUGUAGGUUAUUACUUAACCUACCUUGUAUGAUAUCGGCUUAGUUGUGUAUAUCUGCUCUGAUAACCAGUUUACUUUGGAGAAUGUUAAUGUUUGAGAAUCUAUUAUCGUAGUGAAGUUAAGGUGACACUUGUGCUAUCGGAAUGUAACUUAUUCACUUGGAAUGUAAAUAUUGUGAGUUUAGUUUUAAGCAUGUCCAGGUUUUGUAAACUUUUGGGUAGCCCAUUUUAGGGGAGGUUCUGUCGAUUUUUCGGUAGGAUUUCACUUAAAGUGGGUCCCACAGACUCGUAUCCGGGUUUCAGUUUGAAACUUGGGUCGGGUUCUGUCAGUUGGUAUCAGAGCACUAGGUUAUUAGAUUCUAUGGCCGAUAUCUUGUUAUAGACUCUUAUAUACUUGAUUGUAUUCAGUACCUCCCGAGUGAUGGCCCGACUGCAGCGGACUCUUCGGUGCUGAUGUACAUAUCAAGUGUGUAAGAUGAUUGUUGUUGGUGAAAAUACCUUUGGUGUACAUAUUCAAAAAGUUUUUCCGCUUCUUCACUCACCACCGGCAACUCCACCCCAAACUCCUGCUCCACUCACCAUCAAGCAUUAUCAUCACGCUCCACUGCCCACACCAGUCCACCCCAACUUAAUAUGGAUUGUGAAAAUACUAUCAUAGCAAUGAGUGAGACUGGAUCUAUCAAGAUUGUUCUCUAAUCGUUUUUUUCCAGGUUUCAUACUUCGUCCAGGUUUUUGGCCUGAUUUGAUGUGAAUUCGGAGGUUCUGCAUAUUGAAGAAGUUAGCAAAACAAAGAAAAGAGUUCGGGUUUGGUUGCUCUGAACUAUAUGGAGCUUGGAAGAAAUUCCAGCAACUACAGUCAAGGUAUGGCAGUGGCAAGAGUAGGGGUUAAGCCACAGACGAAGAACGUUGUGGCAGAUGGGAGAAACCGAAAACCACUGGGUGAGAUUGGUAACUAGCAACUUGUUCGAGGAAUUGAGAUCAAGCCGAAUCGCCCUAUAACAAGGUUAUGGAGAGCACCUGUGGAUUCCAUUACUCCUAGAAUGGUAGACAUGCUCAGUGAAUAAGCUAAAGUAAACAAAGCAGGCCCUGAGCCUUUGUUCUCUGUUAAUUAUAUGCAGCAUCUCUGCAAGGAAAAUUUCUGUUCUAGGACACUUUAGGAUGCUGAAAAGGGAUCACUAUCACAUUUGCUUUAGUUAUAGGCAUGGUUAAUGUGCAAUGGACACGUUUAUAUUUUUUGGGUUUAUGUAUUUAUAGGCACCU